GGUGGGUCUUGGGUGACGCACCCCGAAAUCGUGCUCCCUCUUCUCUGGUUCUGGAUGCAUCACCUGAGAACUGCU
This is a non-coding RNA of Myotis davidii, 75 nucleotides long. NCBI's taxonomy places the organism in Eukaryota, Metazoa, Chordata, Mammalia, Chiroptera, Vespertilionidae. The record is from Rfam.